RNAcentral lists this long non-coding RNA (209 nucleotides) under Nicotiana benthamiana. Its description in RNAcentral is "long non-coding RNA (NBEN_LNC019031)". Lineage: Eukaryota; Viridiplantae; Streptophyta; Magnoliopsida; Solanales; Solanaceae. The record is from RNAcentral.
GAUAUAGGCUUCCGGCACGCUCUUCGCCUCCAAGCACCUCCAUAGCACCUCCCUCGGGACCUUGUCAUAUGCCUUCUCCAAGUCGAUAAGAACCAUGUGAAGGUCCUUCUUCUUAUCCCUGAAUUGUUCCGCCAGUCGCCUGACUAGGUGAAUAGCCUCUGUAGUGGAGCGGCCCGGCAUGAAACCGAACUGGUUCCCGGAUAUAGAUG